UACGUAGGGUGCAAGCGUUGUCCGGAAUUAUUGGGCGUAAAGAGCUCGUAGGCGGUUUGUCGCGUCUGCUGUGAAAACUCGGGGCUUAACCCCGGGCCUGCAGUGGGUACGGGCAGACUAGAGUGCGGUAGGGGAGACUGGAAUUCCUGGUGUAGCGGUGAAAUGCGCAGAUAUCAGGAGGAACACCGGUGGCGAAGGCGGGUCUCUGGGCCGUAACUGAUGCUGAGGAGCGAAAGCGUGGGGAGCGAACAGG
This 253-nucleotide ribosomal RNA is filed under the name uncultured bacterium. RNAcentral's name for it is "partial 16S ribosomal RNA". It matches the Rfam family "Bacterial small subunit ribosomal RNA", at positions 524 to 776 of the family's 1533-position model. The record is from RNAcentral.